Molecule: ribosomal RNA, 466 nt
Filed under: uncultured bacterium
Lineage: Bacteria
Description: partial 16S ribosomal RNA
Rfam family: Bacterial small subunit ribosomal RNA
Source: RNAcentral
GAUGAACGCUGGCGGCGUGCUUAACACAUGCAAGUCGAACGAUGAAGCCCAGCUUGCUGGGUGGAUUAGUGGCGAACGGGUGAGUAACACGUGAGUAACCUGCCCUUAACUCUGGGAUAAGCCUGGGAAACUGGGUCUAAUACCGGAUAGGAGCGUCCACCGCAUGGUGGGUGUUGGAAAGAUUUAUCGGUUUUGGAUGGACUCGCGGCCUAUCAGCUUGUUGGUGAGGUAAUGGCUCACCAAGGCGACGACGGGUAGCCGGCCUGAGAGGGUGACCGGCCACACUGGGACUGAGACACGGCCCAGACUCCUACGGGAAGCAGCAGUGGGGAAUAUUGCACAAUGGGCGCAAGCCUGAUGCAGCGACGCCGCGUGAGGGAUGACGGCCUUCGGGUUGUAAACCUCUUUCAGUAGGGAAGAAGCGAAAGUGACGGUACCUGCAGAAGAAGCACCGGCUAACUACGUG